AUCUCAUGGCCGUUUGCGACGACCACACAGAGCAAUGUCCACGUUCCAUCGCUGAGAUCUUUAAGCACAACAAUCUCGCCUUACCUGCUGCUAAUCUUACUUCUCAAGUCGAAGAAAUGUGGUACCUCGACCAAGCAGCUGCCUCAUUGCUUUAGAGAGUCAAACACCUUGAUAAUGGUGUCCUUAUAUGAAUAAUAAUCUCUCUAUGUUGCUUUGUGGACCGAUCGAGUUGUUUCUGUUUGCAUGCAUUUGUGUUGAAUAAGCGGCUAAUAAUAAUGCAUUUUGCGUACAUAUGUUACGUACCAAAUGUAUCGAAACGCCGAUUUGUUGUUUCUCUACACAGUUGAUUGAACCAUUACAUGAUGUAGUGAAACACAUAUAUCUCAUGUGUACUUUUCAUUCCCUAAGAUGUUAAGACUGAGUUUAACCAAGAAAAUAACAAUCCUGAGUUCGGUAGAGAACAUGUUUUACAUGAAGAUGUAUGGUAGAGAAAAUUGAAGUUGGUAGUUAGAACUUUGAACAGUCUACUCCUGAAUUACUCUGUAGAAUCUAGUUCACAUAUUCAGAAAGUACGGUACACAUAUUCAAAUUAAAUUUACGUUGUAACCAGUGGCGGGACACAAGAUUAAAUUUUACCUGGGUCAAACCAUGAAAAAAAAUUAAAAGUGUCAACUCUGGAGUUUGAAACUAGGUUUAGGGGUGUCAUCCAAGUUAUUUUACCAACAGAGCUAGUGAUAUUUCAAUGCUAAUCCCUACAAAACAAAUAUUUAUCCAGAUUUAAGGGGUGUCAUGUGACACCCCAUCCUCUCAAAUGGGUCUGCCACUGGUGGUAACCACUUUUGUUGGCAGAUGGUUGUAACCACUUUUGUUGGCAGAAAUAAUAAAUUGUGCAGAGUAUCAAGAGGUGAUUGGAAUGAGCAGUAAUUUUAUGUUUUUUGGUGUAGAAUUUAAGUUGUAGAUUUAUUUGAUGUAGAUUAUUUUGUUGUAGCUUUGUAAAUCACUAUUUUUUUGCUCUGAAAAUAAAGUUUUUUACAUCUAUAUUUUAAUUUUGUAGAGAUUUUUUUGUUGUGAAUUUUUUAAAUAAAAGAAAGCUCGAUUGGUUAACAUAUAUUGUUUUAGACUAAACUAGGGGGUGUCCGCGCUGCGCGCAGAAUAUUAUUUUAUGGUUGUUAAGUAUGAUGUUUUUGAAUGAUGUAAUUAUAUGGUCAUUAUUUAUUUGUGAAGAACAUGAUUUAGUAUUUUAUUGUGUGAUGUAGUAUUAGGUUAUAGGUUAAUAUAUUAUGUGUUUGUCUUUUUAAUAAUAUGUUGUUGUGUGUAUAGUAGUAUGUCAGUGGUGAAAUGAGCUUCUGAUGUUAAGCAUUUUGAAUUUCAAUAAAUUUUCAUUUAAGCAUUUAUUGAUUCUAACAUUAACGGUUUAAGCGUCAACAUUGUAUUUAAUAUUUUCACAUUUUUGAACACUAUUCUUUUUGUUAACAACGUCGAACAUUAUUCUCCUAAGAUGUUUUUUCCUUCUCCGCAUAUUUUAACUUGAGCCAUCACCAUCUAUGUAUUUCGUUUACAUUUCCAGUGUGCGGUGUUUCUUACCAUCACCGGAAAAAGUCGUACCUUCGUUUCUCUUGUUUUUCUUCGUCUUUUUCUCUUGUGAGAUUAUCUAAUAUUUGUUGUAGAUCAGGUUUAUGAGUUCCCAGUUGUGCGGUUGUUUCUCAUGAUGUUGUACGCUGUUCUGGUCAAUAUUUGUCCUCUUCUUCCUUAAAUUUGGCUAAUGUUAAGAACUACAUCUCCUUGGGUUAGUCAGAGUUUAGUUGUCUUUAAUGUUGUCUUCCUCGUAGUUGGCUUGUCGUUGAUAGUCACUGCUCGUCUUGGUUUUUAAGAUCUAUUUUUUUGCUGAUUUGACUUUUACGUUCUCUUCAUAGAUCGAGGAUGGCUCCACAGUUUAUUGAUUUUUUUGUAGUCUCCUUUUCUCUCUUUGUUCUCUCAUCUCGUUGCACUUUUCAUCGCUGGCUGCGUCUUCGGUGGCUCUCUAUUUUGCCAUGUUUGCCACUCCAGAUUUGGAUAGUGUUUUCCUUCGUGUAUGUUAUGUGGGCUUGUAAGAUUAUUUCUUGUCUCAAACUUGAGAUUUGGUUUCUUUGUGGUUAGCUUCCAUUCUCCCUCAUUUAUGUUGUUUUUCUUCUUUUCCUGAUUCCCUUGGUAUAGGUGUGUGGAGUUAGUCUCUUGGAGCUUUGGUCUCUUCUAUUCAGAGCUUUGUGAUUCUUCGUUGGCAAUGAGCGCCUUGUAUGUGGUUGUUUGUUUGUGAGGUGCUUCUUAACUCUUAGCUGGUGGUUGUGCUUUAGGCAUGUGUUAGUGUUACUAUAGUAUUUUGCUUUUUCUUUGUGAUUUUGAAAAUUUAGGUUUAGAUUAUGUAUCGUACUCUAGUUUUAUUAGUUUAGUUAUUUUAUAGAUUUUAAUAGUCAAAUAAAUUUAUAAUUUGUAAAUAAAAUAAUAGAAAAUAUCAAAAAUAAAAGUUUAUGUUAUUUUUUAUUUAUGAAUAAAUAAAAUAUUUAAAAUAUAUUUAUAUUAUAUUUUUUAUUCAUCUUUAAUUUUACUGACCAAUAAAAUAGAUUAUAAAAUUUCAUAUGAUAACGGUUAGUGUGAGAAAGAUUUUAUGGCACAAUUAGAAAGUAUUAAGUCAAAUUGUAAAAGUGUAAAAGAAGAAGGACCUAAAAUGUAAAAACAAAAAAUAUAUGGGGACACAUGUCAUCAAAUCCCCCUGCCACUUGUCAUAAGAAGAGAAAAAGUUAACUUUAUAUAUAUAUAUAUAUAUUUUGGCUGUUUAGAGCAUCUACGGCCGCAACCAAUCACGCCCUGAGUUACAUUCGUUAAACAUGUGACAAAGAUGACAAUUACUAUCAUCUCUUUCCUGUUUGUCACCGGUAGAAGUCCAAUCCCAUUGUAAAAUCAUUUAUCUUAGAUUGGAUUCGAAUCCUUCUCGACCUGGUCCAUAACUUAGCAACCACCUUCCAUAACAGUCGGAGACUUGAACGUUAGAGAAUUUUGAGGAGGACAAAACUCUUUUUUUUUCUUCUUAUAGACAUAUGAUGCAAAAUGCACAUGUAAGCUGUAAAGGAUAUCGACAAUUUUUUAUGUAUGAUUUCUUAUUGGAAAAAUUUGCGACAAAAAUGUAACGAUGAUUAAUAUUUUAAGUUAAGUUGCGCCGAAUUCAAUGUUAAUUUCCAACUUUGAGAAAAUCAUGAAACACAAACAGAAUUCAGUAUUUGAUUUCAUAUAUUGUUUUGAGGGCAUAUUCUCUUGCAGACGCGUAUAAGUAAUUAAAAGAAAACAAAACAAAAAGUGAGAACGACAAUACGUCCAAUAAUAAAAAGUCACGUUUUCCACCUCACUAACUUAAAGUCACGUCCAAUAAGUAAAAGUCACAAGCAGCUCCUAAAACCACUUGAUCUCUAUAAAAUGCAAGAAACCCCAACCCUUAACAACAUAUACAAACACACACUUUAUAGGCAACGAUGACAGAAGCUACGCACAGGAAAUGGCAUAAGUUUCCGAGCAAGGAUGAAUUGUCGGUAGCAAUGGCUAAGUACACUGCCCAUCUCUCGGAGAAGUUCUGUAAGGAGAAAGGCCUUUUCACUGUUGUUCUCUCCGGCGGUGGCCUUAUCGACUGGCUCUGGUCUACAAAUCUUCUCCAUUUCACUCUCCUCCUAAUUUUCUUUUCUUAAAGAAUAGUCUAAUAGUAUGUGAUGCUUUAAUUAAUCAAAUGUUGCAGCAAGUUAUUGGAACCUCCGUACAAAGAUUCAAUCGAAUGGUCAAAGUGGCACGUCUUUUGGGUCGACGAGAGGGUUUGUGCAUAUGAAGAUCCAGACAGCAACUACAAACUCGCCAUGGAUGGUUUUCUCUCCAAGGUUUUAUUAUUUUUUCGAUUAGUUAUUACUUAUCAUUUAGCAAGUGGUAUAUAUAUAUAUAUAUAUCGUCAUGCUUAUAUAUACUAAAACAAUUUUAUUUUUCUGGGUGUAUUUAGGUUGGGAUUCCGAAUGAGAACAUCUAUGCAAUCGACAAACACUAUGCCGCUGAUGGUAACGCGGAGCACUGCGCGGCGCUCUACGAGGAGUGUUUGAGGAACCUGGUGAAGCAAAACAUACUCCCACUAUGUCCAAAUGGCAAGUAUCCUCAGUUCGAUCUCCAGCUUCUAGGGAUGGGUCCUGAUGGCCACAUGGCGUCUCUCUUCCCUGGACAUCCACAGAUCAAUGUCAAGGACAAAUGGGUCACUCACAUUACUGACUCUCCAAAACUGCCACCUAGGAGAAUCACAUUCACUUUACCGGUCAUUAACUCGGCUUCGUACAAUCUUAUGGCCGUUUGCGACGACCACACAGAGCAGUGUCCACGCUCCAUCGCUGAUAUCUUUAAGCACAACAAUCGAGCCUUACCUGCUGCUCAUCUUACUGCCCGUGUCGAAACUAUGUGGUACCUAGACAAAGCAGCUGCAUCAUUGCUUUAGAGAGUCAAGCACCUUAAUAAUGGUGUCCUUUAUAUGAAUAAUAAUCUCCUAAGUCAUGAUUUGUGGAUCGUGUUGUUGGAGUUUGCUUGCAUGCGUGUUAAAUUACCGGCUAAUAAUGCACUUUUUUGCGUAUGUAUUUUACAUACCAAAUGUAUUGAAACGCCGAUUUGUUGUUUAUGUCUAGUUAGUUAUCUUGUGUUUGAGGCAUAGGCUAUGACCCUGUGUUAUAAUAAUAAUAAGGUUUUCGAAACAGAGUCUCUGUUAAACCAAUGAAAUGAAACAGAGUUAAACACUUCCGCCAAAGCUUUGAUAUCUAAAAGGAUUCCAUGCAAAUCUGAUAUGGUUGAGCCCUCUCGUAUUGCCGUCACCAAUACCAAAAGAGAUUUGUGUUAAAGUUUAUCUAUCAUAUCAAUAAAAAACGUAUUUAGAAACUUUGAUCAUGAGAGAGUCUUGUAAAAAAAGGAAAAUAUGUGUUAAAGUCUUUACAGAUGACUAAAUGAGUGUAAACAACAUUAAUAAUUAAUGCGGAGUUAGGUUAGGUAAACAAAAUUGAAGCGGCUCGCUUUCAUAUGAAUCAAUCAACUCGUGAAUUACCCUUUAACGGUUGUCUAAUUUACCAAGAUUGAGUUAUGUUCGACCUCAUACAACUCACUAUCCUAAACACAGAGACAUAGAAACCAAGAAGGUAACAGACGAGGCAGACACAAACAUCAACUACUAUCAUGUAACACCCAUGCCAACACUCCAGUGUGUAUAUUCAGAACACUCAUAGCCAUAUAUUAUAUUCCUCAAGAAGUUUCUUAACGGUUCUCUUAGCGAGAUUUUUGAUUUCACGAUAGCCAAAUUGCCUAAGAUCCUCGAUCUAUUUCAAACCAUUUGCACUACGACUACGAGCAAGUUGUUUGUAAGAAUCUCCUCAAGUAAAAUACAUUUGCACUACGACUACGACUACGCCUCUGAUUUCCGCGGGUCUUGAAGAUCUCCUCAAGACCAAACAAGGUGGGAGGAGAGAAUGGUUGGAUUAUCAUUUUUGAAAAAACACACAACUUUGGUAUACAUUCGUAAAGUACAAACAAUAUGCAAGGAUCGAUUUCAAUUCAAUAACUAGUAAAAUACAUAGUGAAAAGAAACUGAUUUUUGAAAUUUUUACCUGGCCAGAACUCUAAUGCACAUGCUCAUUUUUAAAUGGCUAUGUUUUUAUUUUAAAAUUAAAAUUAAUUAUUUAACAAAAAUACAGUAAAAUAUUAUAUUCUGUAGUUCAGAAACUCAAAAUCCUUUAGAGCAUUUUUAUCCAAGGAUAAUAGAGGGGUUCUUAUCGUGUGGGUCCCGCAUAGGACCCUUUUUUUUUUAAGAAACCAGUUACCAAAACUACCAAAUAGUAGUCGGUCUUUAAGGGUUUCUUACACUGUUCGCGGAUCCCACUGACACGUGGCGGCCCGCGAUUGAUUCGUUUUUAAUUUUUUUUUCUUUUAAAUUUGAAAAAGUAAACAAAAAAAAAAUUAUAUGGGAUAAUGAUGCUCUUAGAAAUAAAAUAAGAAAAUAAUAAAUGUUUUUGCAUGGAAAAGUAGAGAGAAAUGGAUUGUGAACUAGAGAACAGAACGAGUAACUAUUCUCGAUCAUUACUCAUUCUAAAAUACAUAUAAGAAUUCACGUAUCUAUAUGUGCAUUGAUUUGCUACAAAGUAUGGUGUCACGUAUACACAUUCAUGAUUCAUGAUUCAUGGUUCCGUCUCUUCCCAAGUUAUGCAGGCAACAGCCUUUUCAUUUCUUCAUCUUCAGUUGCAGCAGCUUCACAUGCGUUUCAUCACCUUCUCCGUUUUCUUUCUCUUGUAAAAGUAGUCAUUUUCUAUGCUCUGUAUUUCGAAACGUACCCUUUUGGGUUGAACAAUAAAAUGAAUAUAUAUAUAUAUAUACAACUUCACAUUUUUUGAUAAAUUCUUACGCAGUUUAUAUUUUCUUUUCAUCAGCUGAUUUUUUGUUAAUGAUUCUUUAACCAUCCCAGAAAAAAAGAAACAAAACGGAAAAACAUUUUUUUGGACAAACUUUAGUAAAAGGCGGAAGAACUGGUCAAAUGGACAAUGAACUAUUUUUGCUAUCUAUUGUUUCUUUUAUUGGAAAAAUCACCACCAAUUGUAACGGUGAAUAAUAUCUUGAGUGAAUUAUGCUGAUUCAAGCUGAGAGCAUCUCCAAAAAGGAACUAUAUUUUGAAGUUUCCAAAACUCUAUAUUUGAAGUUUCAAUAUGUUCUUCUCCAAAAGUAAAACUUCAAACAUAACUUCAAAAUUAUUUAUAUUUUACACUAUGGUCCUUAUAUUUGUCAUAGUUGAUGUAAAUUCAUAAAACUUCUAUAAAUAACUACUACAUAUAUAUAAAUAUUACAGAAAUAUUAAUUAAAAUAUCUUACACUAAAAUAUAAAAUUAUAAAUAAAAAUACAUAAUUAAAUAUUAAACUGCAAGCAAAUACUACAUUAUUCCAUAAAAUUAUUUCCGUAAUGCUCCCUUAUAUAAUCAACUAGUGCAUUUCGAAGUAAGAAAUGAUUCUCUUUAUUUUUUAUUUGUAGAUUACGAGCCAAAAAUUGUUGAAAACGGAUAUCCUCAUAAUAUACCCGCUGAUAGUUUGAUAUCAUUAAACGAAAAAAUUCAUGAUCUUUUAAACGAAAGUGCAACAAGCAGGGAAAAAAGUCAUUAGAUGAUUGAAUUACGACUGCAAAAUGAAGCAAAAAGUUAGCUUUAAUAUUACAGAAAUAUUAAUUAAAAUAUCUUACACUAAAAUAUAAAAUUAUAAAUAAAAAUACAUAAUUAAAUAUUAAACUGCAAGCAAAUACUACAUUAUUCCAUAAAAUUAUUUCCGUAAUGCUCCCUUAUAUAAUCAACUAGUGCAUUUCGAAGUAAGAAAUGAUUCUCUUUAUUUUUUAUUUGUAGAUUACGAGCCAAAAAUUGUUGAAAACGGAUAUCCUCAUAAUAUACCCGCUGAUAGUUUGAUAUCAUUAAACGAAAAAAUUCAUGAUCUUUUAAACGAAAGUGCAACAAGCAGGGAAAAAAGUCAUUAGAUGAUUGAAUUACGACUGCAAAAUGAAGCAAAAAGUUAGCUUUUAAAGAAGUAAAAGAGGAAAAUAAAAUAUUGCUAAAAAACUUAGCUUCUAUCGAUGAUGUUAAUAUUCGUGAAUACAUUCGAUCUGAACAAGAAAGAAUCGUACGAAAAAAGCGUCAAGAGCAACAACAACAAUCAUCUUCGGUUACACAAAAUUUGUUUGGACAAUAUUUUGGAGAUUUGGGAGGUUCUGGAGCAAAUUUACCAGACUAUUAGUGUUGUUAUAAUAUUUAAAUUUGAGUAAUAAUUAUGUCUUCAUGUGUCUUUUUAAUAAGUUUUUAUUAUGGUUUUUUGUAAUAUUCUUGUUGUUUAAUUCUAGUUUUAAAAUAUUAUAAAUCUUGUUUUAAAAUUUUUAUUUAAUUUCAUGUGUAAAACUUAAAUUUAUAAAACAUAUUUGAAAUAUUUAUGAGAUAUUAAAGUUUUAAGGAUUAAAACAAUAAACAAAAAAAUAUUUUAAGAAUUAUAAAUAUGAUAUAUAAUUGUAAGGACCAAAAUGCAAAUAAAAAGAUGAAACUUCAAAUUUGAAGUUUCUUUUCGGAGAGCAAAAAACUUCAUAUUUGGAGUUAUAGAAUUUAUUUUGGAUAUGCUACUAGGACAUCUUGAAACAAAAUCAUAAUUUUAUUAUUUUAUUUCUGAAACUGUUUUGAGGUUACAGGUGACUAAAAAAGUGAGAAGGACAACACGUCCAGUUUAAUAAUCCAAUGCCGAAUCACGUUACUAACUCAAACGUCACAUCCAGCUCCUAGAAGCACUCGAUCUCUAUAAAUAGCAAGAAACCCCCAACAAUCCUUAGCAAUAUAUACAAACACAUUUUUUCUUUUAACAACUUACAGCAUAUUCUUAAUAUAGGCAACGAUGGCAGAAACUACGCAGAGGAAGAGGGAGGUGUUUGCGAACAAGAAUGAAUUGUCGGUAGCAUUGGCUAAGUACACUGCUCAUCUCUCGGCCAAGUUCUGCAAGGAGAAAGGAAUUUUCACCGUUGUUCUCUCCGGCUGUGGCCUCAUCGAUUGGCUCGGGUAUACAUAUCCCAUUUCACUCCUAUUCUUUUUCUUUAUUUCUUAAAGACAAAUCUAGUGAUAUAUGAUGCUUUAACUAAUAAAUUGUUGCAGCAAGUUGUUGGAAUCACCAUAUAAAGAAUCAGUCGAAUGGUCAAAGUGGCACGUCUUUUGGGUGGACGAGAGGGUCUGUUCACAUGAAGAUCAAAACAGCAACUACAAACUCGCCAUGGAUGGUUUUAUCUCCAAGGUUUUAUCAUCGUUAUUAUUAUAUUUUCGAUUAGUUACCAUUUAUCACAUAACAAGUGGUUUCAUUAUUCAUAUCCAUUGAUAGCCGUGCAACAAAAAACCUCAAAUCUUUUGUUUGGUUAAAAUUUAACCACGUGUAUUUAGGUUGGGAUUCCGAAGGAGAACAUCUACGCAAUCGACAAACAAUGUGCCGCUGAUGGUGACGCAGAGCGUUGUGCGACGCUCUACGAGGAGUGCUUGAGGAACCUGGUGAAGGAAAAGAUACUCCCACUAUGUCCAAAUGGCCAAUAUCCUCAGUUCGAUCUCCAGCUCCAAGGGAUGGGUCCUGAUGGCCACAUGGCGUCUCUCUUCCCGGAACGUCCUCAGAUCAAGGUGACGGACAAAUGGGUCACUCACAUUACCGACUCCCCAAAACCGCCACCAAGGAGAAUCACAUUGACUUUACCGGUCAUCAACUCGUCUUUGUACAAUCUCAUGGCCGUUUGCGACGACCACACAGACCAGUGUGCACGUUCCAUCGCUGAUAUCUUUAAGAACAACAAUCUCGCCUUACCUGCUGCUCAUCUUACUGCCCAAGUCGAACAAAUGUGGUACCUUGACAAAGCAGCUGCUUCAUUGCUUUAGAGAGCUAAACACAUUAAUAAAUGGUGUCCUUUAUAUGAAUAAUUAUCUCUCCAAGUCAUGCUUUGUUGAGCAUGUUGUUGGAGACUUGGAGUUUGCUUGCAUGUGUGUCGAAUAACUGGCUAAUAAUGCAUUUUACGUAUUUACGUAUAGUACGUACCAAAUGAUUUGAAACACCAAUUACGCGUAUUUACGUAUAGUAUUUUGCGUAUUUACGUAUAGUACGUACCAAAUGACUUGUGCUUGAGUGACUAUGACCCUGUGUUAUAAUAAUGUCUUUCGAAACCGUUAUUUCAUUAAUGGUGAUGGUAUUUAGAUUUUUAUCACUAUGAAUUUGUGUAGAGUUUGUGAAUUUUGAAAGUUGAUAGAUUUAAAAAAAUUAUGUAGAUUGUGAAAAUUUAUAUACAUUGACUUAUGAAAUUCGAUCAUAACUUUUCUUAGAUUGAUAUAAAUUUUCAUGAAUUUGUAUUACAUCUUUUCUAUCAUUUUUUGUAAAAUAAAUAUAUAAUAUAUUUAUUUUCUAAAUCAUAUAGCAUGAUUAUUUAUUUUUUGCUUUCAAAUUAAAAAAAAACAAUACUGAUACAUACAAAAUUGAACAAUUAUAUAUUCAAAAUUGUAAACGUAUAUAAAUUUAAUGAAUUAUAGUUUUGAACAUAUAAUUUAGAUUUAAGGUGCAAUAGAUAAUAUUUGGUAAGAAUAAUUAUUUUGUUUUCUAGUAUAUUUAUCACAAAGAUUUUGAAAAUCACAUGGAUACAUAUGAUAUUUUUAAAGUUGAGUCUGGAGAAGCCAAUCGAUUGAUCCGGCCAUAAGAAUCACGUUGCUAACUAAAACGUCACAUCGAGCUCCUAGAAGCACUCGAUCUCUAUAAAUAGCAAGAAACCCCCAAUCCUUAACAAUAUAUACAAACACAUUUUUUGUUUUAACAACUUACAAACACAUUUCUUCUUUUAACAACUUACAAACACAUUCUUAAUAUAGGCAACGAUGGCAGAAACUACGCAGAGGAAGAGGGAGGUGUUUGCGACCAAGAAUGAAUUGUCGGUAGCAUUGGCUAAGUACACUGCUCAUCUCUCGGCCAAGUUCUGCAAGGAGAAAGGAAUUUUCACCGUUGUUCUCUCCGGCUGUGGCCUCAUCGAUUGGCUCGGGUAUACAUAUCCCAUUUCACUCCUAUUCUUUUUCUUUAUUUCUUAAAGACAAAUCUAGUGAUAUAUGAUGCUUUAACUAAUAAAUUGUUGCAGCAAGUUGUUGGAAUCACCAUAUAAAGAAUCAGUCGAAUGGUCAAAGUGGCACGUCUUUUGGGUGGACGAGAGGGUCUGUUCACAUGAAGAUCAAAACAGCAACUACAAACUCGCCAUGGAUGGUUUUAUCUCCAAGGUUUUAUCAUCGUUAUUAUUAUAUUUUCGAUUAGUUAUCAUUUAUCACGUAACAAGUGGUUUCAUUAUUCAUAUCCAUUGAUAGCCGUGCAAAAAAACCUCAAAUAUUUUUGUUUGGUUAAAAUUUAACCACGUGUAUUUAGGUUGGGAUUCCGAAGGAGAACAUCUACGCAAUCGACAAACAAUGUGCCGCUGAUGGUGACGCAGAGCGUUGUGCGACGCUCUACGAGGAGUGCUUGAGGAACCUGGUGAAGGAAAAGAUACUCCCACUAUGUCCAAAUGGCCAAUUUCCUCAGUUCGAUCUCCAGCUCCAAGGGAUGGGUCCUGAUGGCCACAUGGCGUCUCUCUUCCCGGAACGUCCUCAGAUCAAUGUGACGGACAAAUGGGUCACUCACAUUACCGACUCCCCAAAACCGCCACCAAGGAGAAUCACAUUGACUUUACCGGUCAUCAACUCGUCUUUGUACAAUCUCAUGGCCGUUUGCGACGACCACACAGACCAGUGUGCACGUUCCAUCGCUGAUAUCUUUAAGAACAACAAUCUCGCCUUACCUGCUGCUCAUCUUACUGCCCAAGUCGAACAAAUGUGGUACCUUGACAAAGCAGCUGCUUCAUUGCUUUAGAGAGCUAAACACAUUAAUAAAUGGUGUCCUUUAUAUGAAUAAUUAUCUCUCCAAGUCAUGCUUUGUUGAGCAUGUUGUUGGAGACUUGGAGUUUGCUUGCAUGUGUGUCGAAUAACUGGCUAAUAAUGCAUUUUACGUAUUUACGUAUAGUACGUACCAAAUGAUUUGAAACACCAAUUACGCGUAUUUACGUAUAGUAUUUUGCGUAUUUACGUAUAGUACGUACCAAAUGACUUGUGCUUGAGUGACUAUGACCCUGUGUUAUAAUAAUGUCUUUCGAAACCGUUAUUUCAUUAAUGGUGAUGGUAUUUAGAUUUUUAUCACUAUGAAUUUGUGUAGAGUUUGUGAAUUUUGAAAGUUGAUAGAUUUAAAAAAAUUAUGUAGAUUGUGAAAAUUUAUAUACAUUGACUUAUGAAAUUCGAUCAUAACUUUUCUUAGAUUGAUAUAAAUUUUCAUGAAUUUGUAUUACAUCUUUUCUAUCAUUUUUUAUAAAAUAAAUAUAUAAUAUAUUUAUUUUCUAAAUCAUAUAGCAUGAUUAUUUAUUUUUUGAUUUCAAAUUAAAAAGAAAAUAAUACUGAUACAUAUAAAAUUGAACAAUUUUUUUAAAUAGCCAUUUUAUAAGAUUUUGUCACAAAAAAACAUUUUAAAAAGAAAAUAACCGAAAGAAGUUUCAUUAAAAAUAUAAAAGACUAUUUUACCCCUUACGGUAUAGAUGUAUAAAAAAUAAAAAGUUGUUUUUAUAUAUUUUUUUCAAAUUCGAACAUUUUAAUAAUAUUUCUAUUUUAUAAAAAAAUAUUUUUUUCAAAUUUUCUUUUUAUGAGUAAAAAUGAAUAGAAUUCAUCUUCCAAUAACACUAGAUUUAGUUAGAAUAUUUUAAAAUUACUAAGAUUUGUAAAUGUAAUUAUUAUUAUUUAUAUUAAAAAUAUAAUUUUUUAAAAAAUAAUUAUAUAUUCAAAAAUGUAAAAGUAUAUAAAUGUAAUGAAUUAUAGUUUUGAACAUAUAGUUUCGAUUUAAGGUGCAAUAGAUAUUUGGUAAGAAUAAUUAUUUUGUUUUCUAAUAUAUUUAUCACAAAGAUUUUGAAAAUCACAUGGAUACAUAUGAUAUUUUUAAAGUUGAGUUUUAUGAGUAAAAAUGAAUAGAAUUCAUCUUCCAAUAACACUAGAUUUAGUUAGAAUUAGAGAAUCAAUAAUAACUAAACUUUUUGAAUAACAAGAGAUUUGAAUGGAUUUUGAAAAUUCUUAAACCAAUAAUAAUGGAUUCUACUAAGAUUUUUGAAAUCCAUGAACCAAUAACAAUAGAUUUUUAAAAUUCACAAAUUCUACACAAAUUCAUCUCUCAGUAAACCCCAUUAAACAUGAUAUGUUCGGUUAAUGGAAUCAUUAAUUCAUUUUAUUUAGUACGAACUCUAUUUUUUUUUUUUAACGAUUUAUGGUAAAUGUAAAUACCACCUUGGUUGUUACAAUUUGAUUUUGUAGAAAGUACAUCGCCGCCAUUUAAUCUUUAACCAUCAGGAAAGCUGACUCUUGUCUCUGAAUAGCGUGAACCAAACUCGGUUCGGUACAAUAUUUCCCUUUUUCCCUUCUUGGGCGUUUAAACGCUAAAUAGAUAAUAUCAAUUACAAAACAUGGGCUUUCUAUAGGCUCAUUCAAUAUCGUACGGCCCUGGAUUUCUUCGCGCCGCCUCUCUCUCGCACAUAAUUAUAUAAACGGUUUGAUUUUUUUUGAUGACUCUGGUAUCUGGGCAGACACAGUCCCAACUAUCCCUGUAGGAGGUCCAGCGCCCCAGCGGAAGAGAUGUUAAAUCCGCUGUGGCCGGGGCUCGAAGUCGUGAUGGCGGGCACCUCAGCCGAGGUUCCUUUACCACCAGACCACGAGGCCCGGUUUAAUUUUACUCCGUGCAGAUUUAGAUAGCUAAUCGGUUUGAUUCCGCAUUCGCAUCUUUCAAAGUAUAGACCGUUUCACGUACUAAGAAGAAACUUGACCUAGAAGGUUUUGUUGUUGCCUAGGAAGGAUAUAACCGUGAAAAGGUUUAAGAUUCGUAUAGUAAUCCAUAAUCGUGAAGUGUUUGUUAGGUUUAUUGUAUCGAGUCGAGGAAGUAGAAUUGUAGAAACCCUAAUUAUGUUUAGUUGACUUGCUAGAUGAUGAUAUGGUUUCUCUUUGUUUGAUUAUGAUUUUUGAGGACUGAUUUUUUGUUUUUUUAAACAAAAAUAUAUUCCCAGUUCUCAGGUGGCUUGCUUAUAAAUGGGUAAAAACAACAAGUCAGCUAAGGAGACAUUUUCAAUCUCAGCCUCAUCAUCCAGAGCCAAGCCUGCUCCUCUACAAGCUUCAUCCUGCUUAGAUCAUCGUCCCUCCUCAUCCAGACCCAGGCUUGCUCCUCUACAAGAUUUAUCCUACACCGCUGGCAUCAAUUUUCCUCCUUCUCUAGAAGAAGAAGAAGAAGAGAAUCAUGAUGUACAGAGACUUCUUAAGGGCAAGCAAACGCAAUUUGUUUUCCCCGUGAUCAGCAAUAAAAAACUAAAGAAGCUUGAGAGUAAAGAAAUAUUAGCUCUCCAGGCUGCAGAUACCGAUGUCUUGAAGGAUGACAUGAUGCAUUCACUGUUGUUAUGGGGAGCAAGGCCUCGGUUCUUGAGGGAGAAGACACACGUGAUGCCAACGUUAAAGACAUAACCAUCAAAGUCUUUCUCCGUCUCCGUUCGAGGCAAACAACUUCUUAAUAACGCCUCUCUCGUCAUCUCACAUGGAAGAAGGUAUGGUUUGGUGGGGCAUAAUGGAACAGGGAAGUCUACUCUGCUAAAGCUUUUAGCAUGGAGCAAGCUUCCAGUUCCCAAGAACAUUGACAUUCUUCUUGUUGAGCAAGAGGUGGCCAGUGAUGACAAGACUGCUGUAGAAGCAGUUGUUUCCGCCAAUGAAGAGCUGGUUAAGCUAAGAGAGGAAGCUUCAUCUCUGCUGCAGGAUUCUGAUAAUGGAGAAAAGCUCUCCGAACUGUACGAGAAGCUGCAGCUGUUGGCAGGGCCGGCUGAUGACCAGGGGCCAGCAGUGCACCCGCCCAGGGCCCAUUGUUGGAAGGGGCCCAUAAUUUUUUUUUUUAAUGUAGUAGUGUAAUUCUAUUUUUUGUAAACUAUACGUAUAAUGUUUUAGAAAAACGAAAUUAAUAAAUACAAAAUUUAUAAAUCUAACUUUAUGGAAACAAAAUCUUAUUUAUGUUAAUUUGAUUAAACUUUUACCAAAUUAUAAUUAAUAUUAAAAUAUUAUAAUCAACAUUAAAAGUAGUUAUCUAAUGUGAGCUUUUUAGGCAUGAGUGUAUUUCAUCAAGACGUCUUCAGUGACAAUACAAUUUUAAUACUCUCAAAAUCGUUGAUUCUUCAAGGAUUCUUACAUUGUUGAUUAGUUUAUGUAAGUGAUCUUUAAUAUUUUUUUUUACUAUCCUGUUUUUUGUUUAGAGAUCACUGAUUUUUUUUGGUAGAGCAAAAUAUUUUUUUCGUUUCUAAAACGUCUGAGGAUUUUUUUUUGUUUUCUUGUUUCAGGUAUCCAUUUCAGUUUCACUUUCAGCUUCAUCAAUUCAUUUUUUGAUUCUUAAAUCCAGGGGUACUUUUCUUUUUACUUAAAUUUUAGAAAUUAACUUGACUUUGAAGUAUAGCCGACUAAAGAUAUUAUAUUUUGAAGGUUUUUGUAGGAACAAAUGAUUUCAUUCUCAAGAAAAAAAAAGCUAUAAAAAGAGCAAGACUGUUUUACUUUUAUGGUUGUGCUUACAUUUUCAAACGAAAAGGAUUUUAUUUUACCCUGUAACCACAAUUUCAAAAUUUUAAUUUCAUCGGUUAAGGGUCACUUUUUUUAAUUUUGCCCUAGGGCCCGUAAAAGGUUUGAGCCGGCCCUGGCUGUUGGGGUCGGAUGCUGCUGAAGCGCAGGCUUCCAAGAUUCUUGCGGGGCUAGGCUUCACAAAAAUAUGCAAGUGCGUCCGACCAAAUCCUUCAGCGGUGGCUGGAGGAUGAGAAUAUCAUUAGCCGGAGCUCUCUUUGUGAAGCCUACUCUUUUGUUGUUAGACGAGCCCACCAACCAUCUCGACCUGAGAGCUGUUUUGUGGCUGGAGGAGUACUUGUGUCGCUGGAAGGACACUUUGGUUGUUGUCUCGCACGGACUUGAUUUCCUCAACACUGUCUGUACCGAUAUAAUAGAUUUGAAAGACCAGAAACUCAACUUGUACCACGGCAACUUCGAUGCUUACGAAAAAAAGUAUGGUCAGCUGCGUUAGGGGGCUAACAAAAAGUAUUUGAUUCACGAGAAACAACGGAUUAAAGCAGCGGGAGACGCAUCCAAGCGCAAGGGAAAGGGUAGAGGGAAGGAGGAGGAGGAAGAGGGGACAGCGCCAAAAGGUCCAAAGAGGUGGAGAGAUUAUAGGGUGAAGCUUAAUUUUCCAGAACCAACGGAGCUCGCUUCUCCUCCUCCUCUUCUGCAGUUGAUUGAGGUUAGCUUCAGCUACCCCGAGAGACCAGAUUUUAAGCUCUCGGAUGUUGACCUAGGCAUAGACAUGGGGACACGAGUGGUGAUAGUUGGGCCAAACGGAGCGGGUAAGUCCACUCUUUUGAAUCUUGUUGCGGGAGAUUUAGUUCCAACAGAGGGUGAAGUGAGGAGAAGCCAAACGCUGAGGAUCGGCAGGUACUCUCAGCACUUUGUUGACCAGUUAAAAAUGGAGGAGACACCGGUUCACUACCUUCUUCAUCUUCAUCCCGACCAAGAGGGCCACGUAAAGGCCGUGCGUGCCAAGCUGGGCAAGUUUGGGCUACAAGGUAACAACCAUUUCACUCCAAUCAAAAAUUUGUCUGGGGGACAAAAGGCUAGGGUUGUGCUAGCCUCCAUCUCAAUUAUGAAGCCACACAUAUUGCUUCUAGACGAGCCAACGAAUCACCUGGACAUGCAGACUAUAGAUGCUUUGGCGGAUGCACUGGAUGGGUUCAAAGGUGGAGUUGUGUUGGUGAGUCACGACUCGAGGCUCAUAUCACGUGUCUGCGAGGACGAGGAGAAGAGUGAGAUUUGGGUUGUAAAAUAUGGAACAGUGACCUUUUUCCAAGGCACUUUUGAAGAGUACAAAGAAGAACUCAAAAGAGAAAUCAAGGCAGAGGUUGAUGAGUUGAGCUAAAGGUCUCCUCAUUAACGUCUGAACUUCAAUGCAAUAAGCUGGCCGCUUAAUGCUAGCGGAUGUUUGUUUUAAAACUAAAUCUCCCUUGAACCCUCUGUGAUUUUUAACUCUUUGUUUAAUUAUUCGUCAUGUUUCAACCUUUUCUUGUUCAAAAUGUUAUAGAGAUGUAAUCUUUAUUCACCUUAUAGAUUAACUCUUUUAUCUGUUUAACCUAUUACUAGGUGACUUUUCCGUACUCAUGCAUGGGUAUAAAUAUUUAUAAAGUAAAUAUACUAUAAUAACUGAUUGUUAUUUAUUUCAAUUUUAAAUUAAUUUGUAAUUUGUAUGCAUAGUUUAUAUUAAUAAUAUUAUAUUACUUUAAUUAGACAUAUCAUUUUAGAUAUGUUAUAUCUAGUCGGUUUUGUUGUUUUUACAGUCGAUUUAGUUAUCUAUAUUAAGAUAUAUUAUGCUUAGAAUGAACUGAAAAAUAAACUAAAGUGUUUGAUUCCAAAUUAUAUAAAUUAAUAUAACAAUAAUAUUCUACAAUCUCAUGCAUAUAUAUAAAUUUUACAAAAGAACUAAAUUGUAAGAGUUGAUUAAUAUUUUAUUUUCAUUUGUUAAUAUGUUUUGAGUCAUCAUAUAAUUUACGUUUAUAAAAUAAAUUAUUAUUAUAAAAUUAUAUAUUCUUAUUGUAGUUAAAUCUAUGAUUUUAGAUAUAAGUUGGAUUAGUUGAGUCACUCAUGUUGUGAGUAUAUUGAGUUCAUAUAUUCUUUCAAAUUCAAACUGAAGUAUAUAAUUUUUAUUAUAAUUAAUAAAAUCAAAUUAAUUUUAUUUAUCGUUUAAUUGUGCAUGUAGUUUCAUAAUAUUUAUAAAAUUAUAUGUUGAUUUCUUUAAAACAAAAUAUUAGAAAAUAAAUAGAUGAUCAAUAGGAAGUUACAUACAUAAGCAACUAAUACAAUUUUGGAAGCUCAUGAACACAUAUCAAUAUUUAAAAUAAUUAAAAUAUUUAUAAAUUAUAAAUAAUUUUAUGCCUGAGAUUUAUUAAAUUGUAAACUGAAAUUUUAAAUAAUCUUUAAAAUAAGAAUUUAUAUUUGCUUUGGUAUUUUACUCAUGGUUAUAUUAAGUUCGACAAACAUAAAAAAAAUAAAAUUUAAAAGCAAAUCUAAUAUUAUGAAAACAAAUAAUUUUAAUAAUGAGAAAAUAUAAUAUAUCUACCUCGUUAAAGUAUAUAAUGUCAUGUUAUUUUGAAAGAUUUUGUAAUUAUUUGAUCAAAAGAUGUUUAUAGUUAAUUUUUUAUUUUUUAAUAUCUUUUGAAAAUAAGCAGUUUAAAAAAAGUGUGAUUGUAUUUUAGAAAUCAUAUUAUAUAUGUAAAAAAUAAUUUAUAGAUUUUUUUGCUGCAUUUGAAAGAUAUUUAUUCAACUAAAUAUAUGAAAAUAAAUAAAACAUUUUAAUAAUACUAAUUAUAAACUAUUUUCAGUUAAUUAAACAUAUAUCACUAUCUGUUUAUGUUACUUAACUAUUUUAUAUAAUUAUCUAAGAAAAUAGAUAGAUAUAUAAAAAAAACAUUUCUAUUACUUUGAAAUUAUGUUUUUUAAAAAAUAAUAUCUUUUUAAUAUCUAGAUUAUCUGAUGAAUUUAGUUUUAUGAAAUCACAUUAUAUACAAAUAUAUAUUUUCAUCUAAGAAAAUAUACUGAAAUAUUUUAUUACUUUAAAAGUAUAUUUUAUGUUAUUUAAAAAUAUUUUAAAUGGAAUAUUUAUAUUUUAUAAACUUUCCUUUGUUAAUGAAAUCAUAUUAUAUAUACAUAUAUUUUCGUUUUAAAACUUUAUAAAUGUUUUCUUUUUUAUUACAUAUGUUAUUUAGAAAAUUUUAAAAAGAAAACUAAAUAAAAAAUUCAAUAAUAGUAUUUAAAUGUAAUAUUUUUAAUUCAUUAAGGGUAUCAGUAUAAUCAACCAUUGUGAAAGUUAGCGUCAGCACGACACAUAAUUAAGAAACCGACUUGUCAAAUAAACUGGGUAUUAAUUGUUAAUAUUCCAUGUAAAAUGAAACAAUCACAAACCUUAAUUUUAUUGGAUCAAUGAUUUAAGACGAUUUUUUUUUCUUCAAACCCCCUCUUAUUGUAUCUAACAUUUAUAAAUUCCAUAUGAAAUCCAAGCUUAUUGGAUUAUUCAUUUGUAUAAGUUCUCUCAAAUUCUAGCUUAUUGGAAAAUAUGAAUUUUGUAAAUAAAAUUUAUCAAAUGUGAUUUGGUGGGUUCGGAUCGUAUUUAUAGUAGAAAACAAUGAAUUGAAAUACCACCUCUUAUGAUGGUAUUUGAAACUUUUUUUGAAAAAAUUAAAAAAUGCACAUUUUUAAAAAGGAAAUUAAACUAUUUGCAAUGAAAAAAUAAUAAAAAUUUAUUUCAAAUUGAUUUAAAAAACAUUUACAUAUUUUAUAUAUUUCAUAAAAAAAUAAAAAAAUUAAAUAUUAAUAAUUUUAAAAUAAAAAAUUUAUUUUAAAUAAAAAUUAAUAAGUUUUUUUCAAAUCCUUGAUUCAAUAAGCCCCAGCAAAUCUUUUGAAAAUAAGUAGUUUUUAAGAAAAUGUGUAAUUGUAUUUUAGAAAUCAUAUUAUAUAUGUAAAAAAUAAUUUAUAGUUUUUUUUUGCUUUAAUUGAAAUAUAUUAUAUUCAACAUUUCAAUAAUAUUAAUGAUAAACUAUUUUCAGUUAAUUAAACAUAUAUCACUAUUAGUUUAUGUUACUUAAUUAUUUUAUGUAAUUAUCUAAAAAAAAUAGAUAGAUGUAUGGAUCUGUAACUAGACACAUGGAUAACUAUGUUUAUGAUAUUAUUAAAAGUGAAAAAAUAUAAUAACGAAGAAUAAAUAUUCGCGCGGAUGCGCGGAUCAAAAGCUAGGGUAGGUUAUAGGAGAAACUUGGAGAGGUGUUAUUUUUGGUUCGGUUUGCAUAAUUGAUUAUGCUUCUCAAACUGGUUGUUUGGUGCAUUCCGAAAUGCUAGGAAUCAAUAGGCAAGCGGUUAAGUGAAUUUCUUUGACCAAACAAAACGUAUUUAGCAACCAACUAGGCAACUACGAUUAUUACAAAAACGUCGCUUCACAGUUGAUUGUACCAUAUCACAUGAUGCAUUGCAACACAUAUAUCUCACGUGUACUUUUUAAUUUUUAGAACCUCUAUAAAUUAAUACUCGAUAAAUUAAUAAUCUUUAUAAAUUAAUAAAUUUUAUCGGUUCCAACUUAAGGCCGUGUAAAAUAUGACAUAAAUCAAUAAAAUAAUAAGAUAAUAAUAUUUUUAAAACUCUCAUGUAAAUAUAUAGUCCCAUUAAAAUCAUAAAUUAAUAAUCUAUCUCUAUAUAUUGUUUAUAUAAGUAAAAACUAAACAUUAUAUUGGUUGUUUUAUAUUCACAAAGAAAAUACUUUUAUUUUUCUUUAUAUUUUAAUAUAUUUUGAUAAUAUUUAAUUAUCGAUAACCACAUAAUAAUUCUAUGAAACAUAAAAAUAUAAACCAAAUAAGAUAAUAAAAUAAUAUGAAAGUCAAAUUUCUAAAAUUUAAAUAAUGUAUAUACGGUAAAAUCAAAUAUUUUUUUAUUUUAUUAAUAAAAAUAUUCAAAAAUAGAAAAAAUAGAAAAAAUCUCAAAAAUGAAACUUUUGUAAAUUAAUAUCUCUAUAAAUUAAUAAAAUUUUAAAGCCUAACAUUAUUAAUUUAUAGAAGUUCUACUGUAUCUAUGAACCACUUAAAAUUUUUGGGCCUCUAUCCCUACUUAUUUUUUAAAAUAUUUGGACUUUUUUUAGCAUCUUAUAUAUUAAAACAGAAGUCACAACCUUGAUUCAUGUGUGAUUUUUUUAAAAAUAGACCUAAUGGACCUAUUACUAAAAAGUCAUAUCACAUUUAAUCUCUAAUCUUAUCAUUAUUAUGCCUAACUAAUCGAAACUAUAUGACAACAAUACACCUAAAAUUCUGGUUUGGAUAACCAGCAUAAAUUAUCUUCAAAUAAAUAGAAUUAUAACGUGCAACUUAUUGAAUGUACUUAACCACUGAAUAAACAGAAGUCAAACCUAACAUUAUAAAAUUCUAGCUUCGGUUUGUUCUAAACAUUUUAUUAUAAAAUUAUAGCACCGGUUUAGUCUAAACAUUUUAUGUGAAAAUCUCGACCACAAGUUUGAUUCAAAUUACCUUUUAUCUUUUGGUUUUGGUGUGACUAUAUUGCCGGUUAACCAGUUAUACCAACGUUAUACGUAUCUUAUGUGAUCUAAUAAAAAAAAAUAUAUCUUAUCUAUUAAAAUAGAAAUGAUGACUUUUUUCAUGUGUGAUAAUUUAUUUAGAUCAUCAUUUAAAAACUUUAUUAAAUAUGUUUCCUUAAUACUAAUAUAAUAUAAAAUUUAUAAUUACUUAAAUCAUAAUAUCUUUUGAUAUCUUUUAAAUUAAAUUAAAAAUAUCUAUAUUUAAAAAUUCUAACAAAUCUUUUGAAAAAGAUUAUAACAAGAUCUUAACUGUCAAAAUUCUACAUAAAUAUUUUCAUUAAUUUCGUAGUUAGUAAUGAAAUGAUAUUAUGAAUUAAUAUAUAUAUAUAUAUACUGUUAUCUUUUAUAAAAUGAAAAAAAAAAUCAUUGUCCUAUUUUAUCUAUUUAUAAUAACAUCUACCAUUUUAAAAUAAAACCAUUAUAUUGAACUAAAUAUGAUAAAAUUAUUUGAAAUUGAUAAGUUCAUAUAUUUUACUUUCAUAAAUAUAAAAUAUUUUAUGCUAAAAUAUAAUAUGCUGGUAGAACAGCUUAACAUCAGUAAAUUAUAUAAUACAUGUAUAAAAAUUAACUUAUCUUAAAAUUGUAUAUAUACAGUAAUUAAUUAUCUAAAAUAAAUAAACAAUAUAUAUAUAUAAUACAUAUUUUAAAAACUCCAAUGUGAAUAACCCGCAUUGGAGGUGCUCUUACCUUCGUUAAACAUGUGAGAGAGAAUGAAAAAAAAAAAGACAACAAAAAUGGCAUUUAUGAAAUGGUAGGACACGAGGUUAAAGAGGAAGAAGAAGCCAAACCAACACAUGAAAGAUGACAAGUACUAUUAGCUCUUUCCUGUUUGUCACCGGUAGAAGUCCAAUCCCACUUUAAAAUCGUUUUAUCGUAGAUUGGCCUCGAAUCCCUUCUGACCAGGUCCAUGACUUAUCAACUACUUCUCCUUCCAUAACGGUCGGGACUUGAACGAUAGAUAAUUUUGAGGAGGACAAAACUCAUUCUUCUAUUUUCUUAUUAUGAUACAAAAUGCAACAAGUAAGCUGUUAAAGCGAUUAAAGAUUCUGUUUCGUAUUAUUUAUAAAACAAAAUUGUGACAAAUUGUAAUGGUGAAUAGUAUUUCGAGUGAAAUUACCUGGAAUGCAAUGUUGAUUUCCAGCUUUGAGGAUUUGAAAAAAAAAGCAUAAUCCAUCAUUUGAUUUCAAAAACUGUUUGUAGGGGAUAUUCUCUAGCAGAAGCAGAAGCGUAUAAAAGUAAUUAGUAGAAAAAAAAAAAAAAAAAAAAAAAGGGAGAACGACAAUACGUCCAGUGAUAAUCCACCAUAAAAAGUCACGUUUUCCACCUAACUCAAAAGUCACAAGCAGCUCCAAUAACCACUCGAUCUCUAUAAAAAGCAAGAAACCCCAAUCCUUAACAACAUAUACAAACAAAUUUUUCUUAUAGGUAACAAUGGCAGAAGCUAGGCAGAGGAAGUGGCAUGUGUUUCAGACCAAGGAUGAAUUGUCGGUAGCAAUUGCUAAGUACACUGCCCAUCUCUCGGCCAAGUUCUGUAAGGAGAAGGGCCUUUUCACAGUUGUUCUCUCCGGCGGUGGCCUCAUCGACUGGCUCUGGUCUACAAAUCUUCCCUAUUUCACUCUCCUUCUUCUUUUUUUUAAUAGGAAAAUCUAAUAAUAUAUGAUGUUUUGAUUAAUCAAAUGUUGCAGCAAGUUAUUGGAACCUCCUUACAAAGAUUCAAUCGAAUGGUCAAAGUGGCACGUCUUUUGGGUCGAUGAGAGGGUUUGUGCAUACGAAGAUCCAGACAGCAACUAUAAACUCGCCAUGGAUGGUUUUCUCUCCAAGGUUUAACUAUUUUUUUCGAUUAGUUAUCACCUAUCAUAUAACAAGUGGUAUAGAUAUUUAUAUAUAUAUAUAUGUAUUAUUCCGUAAUGCAUAUAAAACAAUUUCAUUUUUUUGGGUGUAUCUAGGUUGGGAUUCCGAAUGAGAACAUCUAUGCAAUCGACAAACACUAUGCCGCUGAUGGUAACGCGGAGCACUGCGCGGCGCUCUACGAGGAGUGUUUGAGGAACCUGGUGAAGCAAAACAUACUCCCACUAUGUCCAAAUGGCAAGUAUCCUCAGUUCGAUCUCCAGCUUCUAGGGAUGGGUCCUGAUGGCCACAUGGCGUCUCUCUUCCCUGGACAUCCACAGAUCAAUGUCAAGGACAAAUGGGUCACUCACAUUACUGACUCUCCAAAACUGCCACCUAGGAGAAUCACAUUCACUUUACCGGUCAUUAACUCGGCUUCGUACAAUCUUAUGGCCGUUUGCGACGACCACACAGAGCAGUGUCCACGCUCCAUCGCUGAUAUCUUUAAGCACAACAAUCUCGCCUUACCUGCUGCUCAUCUUACUGCCCAUGUCGAAACUAUGUGGUACCUUGACAAAGCAGCUGCCUCAUUGCUUUAGAGAGUCAAACACCUUAAUAAUGGUGUCCUUUAUAUGAAUAAUAAUCUCCCUAGGUCAUGAUUUGUGGAGCGUGUUGUUGGAGUUUGCUUGCAUGCGUGUUAAAUUACCGGCUAAUAAUGCAUUUUUUUGCGUAUGUAACUAUGUAUUUUACAUACCAAAUGUAUUGAAACGCCGAUUUGUUGUUUAUGUC
RNAcentral lists this long non-coding RNA (23394 nucleotides) under Brassica napus (rape). Its description in RNAcentral is "long non-coding RNA (BNAP_LNC020635)". The record is from RNAcentral. Lineage: Eukaryota; Viridiplantae; Streptophyta; Magnoliopsida; Brassicales; Brassicaceae.